RNAcentral lists this ribosomal RNA (498 nucleotides) under uncultured bacterium. RNAcentral describes it as "partial 16S ribosomal RNA". It matches the Rfam family "Bacterial small subunit ribosomal RNA", at positions 899 to 1397 of the family's 1533-position model. The record is from RNAcentral.
ACUCAAAUGAAUUGACGGGGGCCCGCACAAGCGGUGGAGCAUGUGGUUUAAUUCGACGCAACGCGAAGAACCUUACCUGGGCUCGAACGGCUUCGGACUGCUGGUGGAAACAUUGGCUUUCCCGCAAGGGACCGGAGUCGAGGUGCUGCAUGGCUGUCGUCAGCUCGUGUCGUGAGAUGUUGGGUUAAGUCCCGCAACGAGCGCAACCCUUGUCCUGUGUUGCUAACCGCAAGGUGCACUCUCAGGAGACCGCCAGCGAUAAGUUGGAGGAAGGUGGGGAUGACGUCAAGUCAUCAUGGCCUUUAUGUCCAGGGCUACACACGUGCUACAAUGGACGGUACAAAGCGCCGCCAACUCGUAAGAGGGAGCUAAUCGCAGAAAACCGUUCUCAGUUCGGAUUGCAGGCUGCAACUCGCCUGCAUGAAGCUGGAAUCGCUAGUAAUGGCAUAUCAGAACGAUGCCGUGAAUACGUUCCCGGGCCUUGUACACACCGCCCGU